AAAGUUUUAGUAUAUAUUAGUAUAGUUUAUUGUCAAUAAACAGGUUAGUAACUUUA
RNAcentral lists this transfer RNA (56 nucleotides) under Oesophagostomoides giltneri. RNAcentral describes it as "tRNA-Asp". The record is from RNAcentral. Lineage: Eukaryota; Metazoa; Nematoda; Chromadorea; Rhabditida; Strongylidae.